AUCAACCAUCAAGCUUAGCUUGUCGUUGGACCCUUUGUCGUCUAGUGACAGGUCCGAAAGAUAAUGAACGGCGUCACGGCGACCCUACAUGCAACGAGCUUGUAAAUAGCACGCAUAUGGUGGUCAUCCGGGCCCCGGUCGUCACCCUUUAUUUUCUCUAGGUUGACCUCGGAUCAGGUAGGAAUACCCGCUGAACUUAA
RNAcentral lists this unclassified non-coding RNA (200 nucleotides) under soil metagenome. Its description in RNAcentral is "partial contains internal transcribed spacer 2 and large subunit ribosomal RNA". The record is from RNAcentral.